AUUGAACGCUGGCGGCAGGCCUAACACAUGCAAGUCGAGCGGAUGAAGGGAGCUUGCUCCUGGAUUCAGCGGCGGACGGGUGAGUAAUGCCUAGGAAUCUGCCUGGUAGUGGGGGAUAACGUCCGGAAACGGGCGCUAAUACCGCAUACGUCCUGAGGGAGAAAGUGGGGGAUCUUCGGACCUCACGCUAUCAGAUGAGCCUAGGUCGGAUUAGGUAGUUGGUGGGGUAAAGGCCUACCAAGGCGACGAUCCGUAACUGGUCUGAGAGGAUGAUCAGUCACACUGGAACUGAGACACGGUCCAGACUCCUACGGGAGGCAGCAGUGGGGAAUAUUGGACAAAGGGCGAAAGCCUGAUCCAGCCAUGCCGCGUGUGUGAAGAAGGUCUUCGGAUUGUAAAGCACUUUAAGUUGGGAGGAAGGGCAGUAAGUUAAUACCUUGCUGUUUUGACGUUACCAACAGAAUAAGCACCGGCUAACUUCGUG
RNAcentral lists this ribosomal RNA (484 nucleotides) under uncultured bacterium. Its description in RNAcentral is "partial 16S ribosomal RNA". It matches the Rfam family "Bacterial small subunit ribosomal RNA", at positions 30 to 507 of the family's 1533-position model. The record is from RNAcentral.